Molecule: transfer RNA, 73 nt
Filed under: Armatimonadota bacterium
Lineage: Bacteria; Bacillati; Armatimonadota
Description: Armatimonadetes bacterium (activated sludge metagenome) tRNA-Lys
Rfam family: tRNA
About the family: Transfer RNA (tRNA) molecules are approximately 80 nucleotides in length. Their secondary structure includes four short double-helical elements and three loops (D, anti-codon, and T loops). Further hydrogen bonds mediate the characteristic L-shaped molecular structure. tRNAs have two regions of fundamental functional importance: the anti-codon, which is responsible for specific mRNA codon recognition, and the 3' end, to which the tRNAs corresponding amino acid is attached (by aminoacyl-tRNA synthetases). tRNAs cope with the degeneracy of the genetic code in two manners: having more than one tRNA (with a specific anti-codon) for a particular amino acid; and 'wobble' base-pairing, i.e. permitting non-standard base-pairing at the 3rd anti-codon position.
Source: RNAcentral
GGGCCAUUAGCUCAAUCGGUAGAGCAGCGGACUCUUAAUCCGUUGGUUUCAGGUUCGAGUCCUGAAUGGCCCA